GAGAGGUCGGGGUGGGCGAGAUCUGAAAGCAGCCGGCGGCUGGGAAAUGGCGGAGCCUUCUGCUUAAGGGGAAGUCAACCUGGAUCCUACAUUACUCAUCUCCUGGAACCCAGUCUCCCUUGGAAGUUCCCUAUGCAUCCUUCGCUUGACCACAUGGAUGGAGAAGAUGAUCUGUCAGUGCUGACCGCGCUGCUGGAGGAGAA
Ochotona princeps (American pika) is the source of this 203-nucleotide long non-coding RNA. RefSeq lists it as uncharacterized. The transcript is spliced from 3 exons. The record is from RefSeq and is a predicted model, not a curated record. NCBI's taxonomy places the organism in Eukaryota, Metazoa, Chordata, Mammalia, Lagomorpha, Ochotonidae.